UGGGGAAUUUUGGACAAUGGGCGCAAGCCUGAUCCAGCAAUGCCGCGUGCAGGAUGAAGGCCUUCGGGUUGUAAACUGCUUUUGUACGGAACGAAAAGCCUCUCUCUAAUACAGGGGGUGAUGACGGUACCGUAAGAAUAAGCACCGGCUAACUACGUGCCAGCAGCCGCGGUAAUACGUAGGGUGCAAGCGUUAAUCGGAAUUACUGGGCGUAAAGCGUGCGCAGGCGGUUUUGUAAGACAGUGGUGAAAUCCCGGGCUCAACCUGGGAACUGCCAUUGUGACUGCAAGGCUGGAGUGCGGCAGAGGGGGAUGGAAUUCCGCGUGUAGCAGUGAAAUGCGUAGAUAUGCGGAGGAACACCGAUGGCGAAGGCAAUCCCCUGGGCCUGCACUGACGCUCAUGCACGAAAGCGUGGGGAGCAAACAGGAUUAGAUACCCUGGUAGUCCACGCCCUAAAACGAUGUCAACUGGUUGUUGGGGAUUUAUUUCUUCAGUAACGAAGCUAACGCGU
RNAcentral lists this ribosomal RNA (511 nucleotides) under uncultured bacterium. Its description in RNAcentral is "partial 16S ribosomal RNA". It matches the Rfam family "Bacterial small subunit ribosomal RNA", at positions 355 to 860 of the family's 1533-position model. The record is from RNAcentral.